GACGUAGGAGACGAGCGUUGUCCGGAUUUACUGGGCGUAAAGCGCGCGCAGGCGGCCCCGCAGGUCGGUUGUGAAAGCCCCCGGCUCAACCGGGCGGAGGCGAGCGAAACCGCGGGGCUGGAGGCUGGCAGAGGGUGGUGGAAUUCCCGGUGUAGUGGUGAAAUGCGUAGAGAUCGGGAGGAACACCCGCGGCGAAGGCGGCCACCUGGACCAGACCGUGACGCUGAGGCGGCGAAGGCCGGGGGAGCGAACGGG
Molecule: ribosomal RNA, 255 nt
Filed under: uncultured bacterium
Lineage: Bacteria
Description: partial 16S ribosomal RNA
Rfam family: Bacterial small subunit ribosomal RNA
Source: RNAcentral